Leptonychotes weddellii (Weddell seal) is the source of this 1556-nucleotide non-coding RNA. The record is from RefSeq and is a predicted model, not a curated record. NCBI's taxonomy places the organism in Eukaryota, Metazoa, Chordata, Mammalia, Carnivora, Phocidae.
GGGAUUCCGAGCUGUGGGCAGCGGCUCCUGCCAGCGCCUGGUCUCGACUUCUGGGUUUCUCAGUCCCUGAGCUGUCCCUGUUGGCCCGACGCUGCGCCGCCCGCAUGUUUGCAUAUACUUAAACUUGUCCUGGCGUUCCCUGACCUUGUGUCAACUUGCAGGCUGUGUAGGACGUCACCCUGAUCUUCUACCCUGGCUUCUCCAGCAGCCAAACCGAACCACUCCAGUUGCUUCAGAUCUUUCGUGAAUAAGCCAUUAAUCGUUAUUGGAACGCCUCAUCUUUGGGAACCUUUUCCACUACCUGUUCUCACUCUACCACCUUGUCCUCACCCGUGACCGUGUCGCUUCAGAAACAUGAUGUAGGGAGACUACAUCCCCUGACCUCUCAGAGGCCCCCACUGUGCUGCACCUUACAGACAAAAUCCCGUGGAGACUGGGUUCCUGCUGUCACACAGGCCAUUACGCAGAUUUUGGAUGCCAAGGUGGAAGCCACACACAGCCCGAAACUUCUCAGGAAGUGUGCUGCCAAGCACUGGUACCUCGACGUGACUCAACCCAACCAGAAACGAGAAGGCUCAUUAAUAAAAUCCCUAAGGCUAGGAUCCUGAGGCCCAGAGCAGGAUGGAGAAAGGUGAAGAGGCGAUUUGGAGGAGCAGAUAUCCAGCAUGGGCUCUCAGGCUUGGAAGGCACUAUAUCCCUUCCACCCACAUUCCAUUGGCCAGAACCCCAUCCUAUGGCCACCUCUAACUACAAAUUAAGAAAUCAAGUGCCCAAGAGGAGGAAGGAAAAGAUUUGGUGAAUAGCAUACCCCUCUCUACCUCAUGGCCAAGCAAGAUGACAACUGAGAAUUGACCACUGGAUUCAGCAAUAUGGAGGCAAUUGGUGAUCAUGAUAAUCCAGUCUUGGUUAGAGUUGUGAGUGUGAAAGCCUAAUGGGAGUGGAUGCAAGACAGAAUGGGAGAAGAAUCGGAGACUGGCAAUUGCUAACAACUUCUUUCAGUCAGUUUUGCUGAAAAGGGAAUCAAAGCAAAAAGGUAUUUCAUUAGAGGCAAGACACUUGCCAUGUACCUCAUCAUCGGCCCUGUCAAGACACAACCACUGAAGACAACGACUGAAUGACUGCCAGAUUCCUAUAGAGUUUUAAGGUGGUCGUCUCUGAGUUGGUCAGUUACGCUGAUGGUAGAAUUGUGUUCACAAGGACAAGGAUUCCACCACACCUUGAGGCUUGGUGAAGAACCUCGGCUUAAGCACGUUUUUACGGCUAAAAUUAUCUAACUGUCGCUGCAGGAAAGUACACUGCUGAGUGAGAAUGAAGGAUUUAUGGAACUGUUUCAGGGUAGGGUGACUGGUGUUUUAAAAAAAAAUCCUGCCCAAGAACAUGUGGGGUAUGACUUUUUAUAAAUCAUAGUUACUAAAAGUGAGCAGUCAUAUGUAUAAACUCAGAUUAAAAAAAAAAUAAAAACAGUAGUAGUGUUUAGACAUGCGUGAGAGAGCUCUGCAGCACUUUAAGAGUUAAAUCAGUCAGAUUAAAUCAUAAGGGAUGGAAGCCAUAUAUUA